Molecule: ribosomal RNA, 696 nt
Filed under: uncultured bacterium
Lineage: Bacteria
Description: bacterial SSU rRNA
Rfam family: Bacterial small subunit ribosomal RNA
Source: RNAcentral
GGGGGAUAACGUGGUGAAAAUUACGCUAAUACCGCAUACGAUCUAAGGAUGAAAGCGGGGGAUCGCAAGACCUCGCGCGAUUGGAGCGGCCGAUAUCAGAUUAGGUAGUUGGUGAGGUAAAGGCUCACCAAGCCAACGAUCUGUAGCUGGUCUGAGAGGACGACCAGCCACACUGGAACUGAGACACGGUCCAGACUCCUACGGGAGGCAGCAGUGGGGAAUUUUGGACAAUGGACGCAAGUCUGAUCCAGCCAUUCCGCGUGCAGGACGAAGGCCUUCGGGUUGUAAACUGCUUUUGUACAGAACGAAAAGGUCUCUAUUAAUACUAGGGGCUCAUGACGGUACUGUAAGGAUAAGCACCGGCUAACUACGUGCCAGCAGCCGCGGUAAUACGUAGGGUGCAAGCGUUAAUCGGAAUUACUGGGCGUAAAGCGUGCGCAGGCGGUUAUAUAAGACAGAUGUGAAAUCCCCGGGCUCAACCUGGGAACUGCAUUUGUGACUGUAUAGCUGGAGUGCGGCAGAGGGGGAUGGAAUUCCGCGUGUAGCAGUGAAAUGCGUAGAUAUGCGGAGGAACACCGAUGGCGAAGGCAAUCCCCUGGGCCUGCACUGACGCUCAUGCACGAAAGCGUGGGGAGCAAACAGGAUUAGAUACCCUGGUAGUCCACGCCCUAAACGAUGUCAACUGGUUGUUGGGUC